CAGUCGCCACGGUAAUACGAAGGGUGCAAGCGUUACUCGGAAUUACUGGGCGUAAAGCGUGCGUAGGUGGUGGUUUAAGUCCGUUGUGAAAGCCCUGGGCUCAACCUGGGAAUUGCAGUGGAUACUGGGUCACUAGAGUGUGGUAGAGGAUAGUGGAAUUUCCGGUGUAGCAGUGAAAUGCGUAGAGAUCUGGAGGAAUACCGGUGGCGAAGGCGGCCCCCUGGACAAAGACUGACGCUCAGGUGCGAAAGCGUGGGGAGCAAACAGGAUUAGAUACCCCUGUAGUCCCUGUCUCUUAUAC
This 301-nucleotide ribosomal RNA is filed under the name uncultured bacterium. RNAcentral's name for it is "partial 16S ribosomal RNA". It matches the Rfam family "Bacterial small subunit ribosomal RNA", at positions 509 to 807 of the family's 1533-position model. The record is from RNAcentral.